GAUGAACGCUGGCGGCGUGCUUAACACAUGCAAGUCGAACGGAAAGGCCCAAGCUUGCUUGGGUACUCGAGUGGCGAACGGGUGAGUAACACGUGGGUGAUCUGCCCUGCACUUCGGGAUAAGCCUGGGAAACUGGGUCUAAUACCGGAUAGGACCACUUCUUGGAUGUUGUGGUGGAAAGUUUUUUCGGUGUGGGAUGAGCUCGCGGCCUAUCAGCUUGUUGGUGGGGUAAUGGCCUACCAAGGCGUCGACGGGUAGCCGGCCUGAGAGGGUGUACGGCCACAUUGGGACUGAGAUACGGCCCAGACUCCUACGGGAGGCAGCAGUGGGGAAUAUUGCACAAUGGGCGCAAGCCUGAUGCAGCGACGCCGCGUGGGGGAGGACGGACUUCGGGUUGUAAACUCCUUUCGCUAGGGACGAAGCGUUUUGUGACGGUACCUGGAGAAGAAGCACCGGCUAACUACGUG
This 467-nucleotide ribosomal RNA is filed under the name uncultured bacterium. RNAcentral's name for it is "partial 16S ribosomal RNA". It matches the Rfam family "Bacterial small subunit ribosomal RNA", at positions 28 to 507 of the family's 1533-position model. The record is from RNAcentral.